CAUCAGGUUGUCAUCUUUGAGGAAUGUCGUGACUCCAGUAAGGAAUUUCUUGUUUUCAUGACCUCUGGCCAUGGAUAGCAGACUGAGCAACACGAGGGCAGGGGGCCUGCUGUCUGAAGUUUAUAUUGGGCAGGGGGCUAGGAUACCUGGCACACAGGCCAGGGUCCAGCACCAUUUUUUAUAUGGAGGAAGGAAGGAAAUGAACAGUCUCAUUGAUCUGUAGAAAAUAGGAAUGAGAAGGGGACCAGGAUUUAAAAAUUUUACUUCUGUAGGAAAGAGGAAAUUGAGGCACCUGAUUGCUCGGGCAGGUUAAGCCUAGUCUCCUAAUCACCCAGUGAACAAUAAUAAGUCAUACCCUUGAAGGUGUUGCAUGGCAGUGCCCUUCUGUUGAAAGCUAUUUUAAUUGUGGGAAAAAAAAAAUUACCCAGGUCAAGAAGUUCUUCUAAACUAAAGCAUAUCCAUUCCUAUUUUGCGGUUUUUCUGUGGCAUCAAAACUUGUCGGGAAGGUUUAGCAAAGCUGUGCUUCUAAUGAUGUGGAGAUCUCACCGGCAGCUGUGCUAAACCUCUUGAUGUAAACUAGCCACGAGUAAACGUCUGGUUGUGAAUCAUAGCAUGACCUUUCAGGGAAAACAAAACAAACAAACCACCAAACACACUAAUCAGAUUUUUUUUUAGUAUCAGGAUGGUAAACUCUGACACUCAGCGGUUGGCCAGGCCCACUUGGAGCAGUUGAGACAACUUCCUUUCUCUGUUUCUGUUUGUGCAACACAUGGUUGUAUAUUACCUUCGAAUGCAUAUUAGGUUAAAAAAAAUUAAAGCUUUCUUCCACUGAGUUAAGGCAUAUCCUUGAUUUCCUAAUCACCAUGGAACUUUAUAUAAAUACAGAUUACUAAGUGUCACUCAAGACCUGCUGAAUCUGCAUCUCUCAGAGGGUGGGCCCCAGGAGGCUCUUCUGAAGAAUACCCAGUGAUUGUAUGAUAACCAGACUUGGAAACCACUAAAAAAACUCUGAUAUUGUAUUUUUCAUCCAUCCACCUAUUCUUAGCUAUUUAUCCAUGUCUUGAGUAGAUGAGAAUUAGUUACUCAUGGGGCAAUGGUUAUCUUAAGAAUUGAGCGUAAAAACCAGAAAGAGAACAUAAUCCGUGCCCCAUGGGGUUCACAGUCUGGCUUACAAGUUUUUCACUUUCUGCUGAGCUUUUAAAGGGUUCAAAAAUGUCCCAGAAGUCUUGGGCAGAAGAUUUUGUGUACACACGUUUUUCUUGCUUUCAUCAGAUUCUCUAAGGGGUCAGUGACCCAUAAAAGGUUAAGAACCAAGGUCUAGCACUUGUACAGCUGUUCUGAAAACAGUGGCAGAGGGCAGCAUUUCUGUUGCCACCUACAAUGUUUUUGACCUUUUGAGAGGCAAUAGCAGUUUGAGAAUUGCACCUGUUUUCUGCCCCAUUUAAAAUAUUUAAAAAGAAGAGAAAAUAGUGUAACACUUAGGUCAUGGUCAGAACAAGAUGAAGGGAUAUAGAAAGGAGCUAUUUGGUGAACUGCCUCACGUUUAAUGCCAAGGAGCCACUGACUGUAAAACAGCCAGUGAUCAGUCUGAAGGGAGAACCUUUUUAACCAGGAUAGCAGAGCCAAGUUUUACUCCAGUGUUCUUACAGUAUGUAAUUAGCUGAAUUAUAUAUAACAGUUUUCACCCCAUGGAUGUACAUAAAGACUAACUGUCUUAUUUUUGUGGCUUUCAAUCCCCAGCAUGUCCAUUGAAUUCCUUAAUUCCAAAAUAGCUUGACCAGCUGUACUGCUGGCUCAUCCUUCCUUAGCUCCUAAAAUCCCCAAGUAACACCGUUCAUUACAGAACAGAAUUAGAUAUUAGGUCCUUCUUGAACUGCUGUAUAAGUUUUACUUAGCAUAACACUAAAACCCCUUAUGGUGGAAUAUUCUUAUCCCUAAGGAUGACUUUGUAAUUCACUUUUAAUUAAGGUUCUUCUCUUCUUUUUUUUGUGACUUCAUAUGUUUCGUUGGGGAACAAAAGUUCUUCAAAUAGUUGUAGCGCUGGUGAUGCUACGUUUUAGGGUUGGAUAGAUUUGGAAGAAGAGGACAGUCAGUGGAAUUAAAUGUUAUUAAUGGGUAAAAUUCCUUGUCCAUUUAUUUGGGUGUUAUUCUUUUGGGGCUCGGAGGGAGCUAGAGCCUGCUUCACUGUCAUGGACAUCUUAAGUCUUUUGUGGCUGUUCACAUGUCGAUGUCAGAUGUGUCACUUAUUUUGAGCUUGUGUAUGUGCUGUUUUGCAUUAUUCAUUAUUCUUUUAAAAAUGGUGACUAUUUUAUCUGAGUAGAUUUUAACUUACUGGGUGGUGAUUUGGUGCUCUGAGUCUUUAUAGUCUUGCCAUGAUUUAGCAUCCUGGGUACAUAAUAGACCCUCAGUAAAUAUUUGAUAAUUGGGUGUGUUGAUUACCUUUGGGUCUUGGAUCCCCAAGAGACCAAAAGAUGGGCUAAAUCUGAAAUUUGAACUUGACGUAUGCUUUGAAAGGUGGGAAUGUAAAAAUGGGUUGUCAGGUCUGUCCCCGUAAGCUUAGGGCUUAUGUCAUAUUCUUUUAUUAUUAUUUUUUAUGUUCGUAUAGAGCUGAAUCAGUUCAUAUUCUGUAGUUCUUUAAAACUUUAAGAUUCCACAAAGAGAAUUUUGUGGUAGACCCACGGCACUUUUCAUUUAAAUAGUAAAUGAGGUGAAACUUGAGAGUUUUUUUUUUUUUUUUAAAUGAGUUGUUUUUAAAAAGAAAGAUUGCGCCACAGACUUGAUCACUAAAGGAUAUAUGUUAAUCAAAUAGAUAUCACCCUCAAUCUGUCCUAAUCAAGUGCAGUUUUAUCAACUGUAUUGGGUAGAUGGAAUAUUGAAGGCUUUGGAUUAACAGGUGACUGUCAUCAGUCAUCUCAAAACUCAAGAUUUGUAGGCUUGAGGGAGAGGGGUGAGGACUGGGAAGAGGUUUGUCUCAGACCAUACUAUGUGAGAAGAGAAUCUGGGAAUGUUCCUUCUGUAGAAGAGGUGGUUCCGGGUGAUACACGGUGGCCACCUUAAAGUACUUCUAGGAAUGAUUUCAGGAAGAGGGAUUUGGAUCCAAGCGGUCGUUGCCACUCCCUUUGGAGGUACAAUUUGGCAUUCUGUAUGAAAAGAAUAGUUUUCUUUUUCUUUUCUUUUUGUCUUUUUAGGGGUGUACCUGCGGUAUAUGGAGGUUCCCAGGCUAGGGGUAGAAUUGGAGCUGUAGCUGCUGGCCUAUGUCACAGCCACAGCAAUGCCAGAUCCGAGCCAUGCCUGCGACCUACACCACAGCUCAUGUCAACGCCGGAUUCUUGACUCACUGAGCGAGGCCAGGGAUCAAACCUGCUUCCUCAUAGAUACUAGUUGGGUUUGUUAUCCACUGAGCCAUGAUGGGAACUCCAAGAAUAGAUUUCUAAUAGUGAAGGUCUUGAAUUUAGUUGUUGAAGGUGUUCACAGAGGAUCACUUCUCACUCACCUGGAUUAUUGUAGUGGGGGGUUAGCGCCAGGAAUUCGUGACCUUUGAGGUCUCCCCAUCCAGAGGGACUAUGAUUAUAUGAUUUUCUAGCCAAAGUGUUCUGAGUAGAUCUAGUACUGGUUUGAAGUCCAGGUCUGUUCCUUGUAAAUUCUUUUCCUCCCUCCUUGCCUUCCUUAUCCCCAGAGUUCAAAGUACAGUGAUGAAUGGGUACUUUUUAUUUUAUUUUGGCCACAAGGUGCAGCAGCUUGAUGUGGGAUCUCAGUUCCCAGACCAGGGAUAGAACCGGAGCUGCAUCGGUGAAAGUGCCGAGCCCUAACCACUAGACCACUAGGGAACUCCUAAAUUCUUUUCCUUUUUAAAGAACUUGGUCUUGGAUGAUGUUUACUUAGUAUUUAAUCUCAUGGCCAUCAUGUUUAUUGAACUGGAACAAAGCCAAGUUUAUCAAGUCCUCCUGCUAUCUAGGUUUCUUCCUCAUAUUCCGGGCUCUUAAAGUCAUUUAAAAGUAUCGUCUUGGCCUUUUCCUUAUUGCCUGUGUGUUUACAGAUCAAAAAUGUGAAUUAAACUUGGUCAUUUAGAAUAUACAGGUUUUCAUUUCAAGUCACUGAAGUGACAUCUUUAGGGAAGAUGAUCAUACUUUACUUACCCUAGAGCUCCCC
This 4149-nucleotide long non-coding RNA is filed under the name Sus scrofa (pig). Its description in RNAcentral is "lncRNA (ENSSSCG00030069859.1)". Lineage: Eukaryota; Metazoa; Chordata; Mammalia; Artiodactyla; Suidae. The record is from RNAcentral.